Molecule: ribosomal RNA, 465 nt
Filed under: uncultured bacterium
Lineage: Bacteria
Description: partial 16S ribosomal RNA
Rfam family: Bacterial small subunit ribosomal RNA
Source: RNAcentral
GACGAACGCUGGCGGCGUGCUUAACACAUGCAAGUCGAACGGAAAGGCCCCUUUGGGGGUCCUCGAGUGGCGAACGGGUGAGUAACACGUGAGUAACCUGCCCUUGACUUCGGGAUAACUUCAGGAAACUGGGGCUAAUACCGGAUAGGAAUCCUUGCUGCAUGGUGGGGGUUGGAAAGCUUCGGCGGUUUUGGAUGGACUCGCGGCUUAUCAGCUUGUUGGUGGGGUAGUGGCUUACCAAGGCUUUGACGGGUAGCCGGCCUGAGAGGGCGACCGGCCACAUUGGGACUGAGAUACGGCCAAGACUCCUACGGGAGGAAGCAGUGGGGAAUAUUGCACAAGGGGCGGAAGCCGGAUGCAGCAACGCCGCGUGCGGGAUGACGGCCUUCGGGUUGUAAACCGCUUUCAGCAGGGGCGAAGCUUGUGGUGACGGUACCUGCAGAAGAAGCACCGGCUAACUACGUG